This 253-nucleotide ribosomal RNA is filed under the name uncultured prokaryote. Its description in RNAcentral is "partial 16S ribosomal RNA". It matches the Rfam family "Bacterial small subunit ribosomal RNA", at positions 524 to 776 of the family's 1533-position model. The record is from RNAcentral.
UACAGAGGGUGCAAGCGUUAAUCGGAAUGACUGGGCGUAAAGGGUGCGUAGGUGGCAUAUUAAGUUAGUUGUGAAAUCCCCGGGCUUAACCUGGGAACUGCAAUUGAUACUGGUAAGCUAGAGUUUAGGAGAGGAUAGUGGAAUUUCCGGUGUAGCGGUGAAAUGCGUAGAUAUCGGAAGGAACACCAGUGGCGAAGGCGACUAUCUGGCCUAGAACUGACACUGAGGCACGAAAGCGUGGGUAGCGAACAGG